Molecule: ribosomal RNA, 468 nt
Filed under: uncultured bacterium
Lineage: Bacteria
Description: partial 16S ribosomal RNA
Rfam family: Bacterial small subunit ribosomal RNA
Source: RNAcentral
GACGAACGCUGGCGGCGUGCUUAACACAUGCAAGUCGAACGGAAAGGCCCUGCUUUUGUGGGGUGCUCGAGUGGCGAACGGGUGAGUAACACGUGAGUAACCUGCCCUUGACUUUGGGAUAACUUCAGGAAACUGGGGCUAAUACCGGAUAGGAGCUCCUGCUGCAUGGUGGGGGUGGGAAAGUUUCGGCGGUUGGGGAUGGACUAGCGGCUUAUCAGCUUGUUGGAGGGGUAGUGGGUUAGCAAGGCUUUGAAGGGUAGCCGGCCUGAGAGGGUGAGCGGCCACAUUGGGACUGAGAUGCGGCCCAGACUCCUCCGGGAGGCAGCAGUGGGGAAUGUUGCACAAUGGGCGGAAGCCUGAUGCAGCAACGCCGCGUGCGGGAUGACGGCCUUCGGGUUGUAUUCCGCUUUCGCCUGUGACGAAGCGUGAGUGACGGUAAUGGGUAAAGAAGCACCGGCUAACUACGUG